RNAcentral lists this ribosomal RNA (254 nucleotides) under uncultured bacterium. RNAcentral's name for it is "partial 16S ribosomal RNA". It matches the Rfam family "Bacterial small subunit ribosomal RNA", at positions 524 to 776 of the family's 1533-position model. The record is from RNAcentral.
UACGUAGGGUGCAAGCGUUGUCCGGAAUUAUUGGGCGUAAAGCGUGCGCAGGCGGUUCGUUGUGUCGGCGGUGAAAGCCCCGGGCUUAACCUGGGAAUGGCCGUCGAAACUGGCGAACUGGAGUGUGGCAGAGGGGGGUGGAAUUCCGCGUGUAGCAGUGAAAUGCGUAGAGAUGCGGAGGAACACCGAUGGCGAAGGCAGCCCCCCUGGGCUGACACUGACGCUCAGGCACGAAAGCGUGGGGAGCAAACAGG